This 441-nucleotide ribosomal RNA is filed under the name uncultured bacterium. Its description in RNAcentral is "partial 16S ribosomal RNA". It matches the Rfam family "Bacterial small subunit ribosomal RNA", at positions 339 to 795 of the family's 1533-position model. The record is from RNAcentral.
CUACGGGACGCUCCAGUGGGGAAUAUUGGGCAAUGGGCGCAAGCCUGACCCAGCAACGCCGCGUGAGGGAAGAAUGUCUUCGGAUUGUAAACCUCUGUCCUUGGGGACGAAAAAAAUGACGGUACCCAAGGAGGAAGCUCCGGCUAACUACGUGCCAGCAGCCGCGGUAAUACGUAGGGAGCAAGCGUUGUCCGGAAUUAUUGGGCGUAAAGGGUGCGUAGGCGGCGCUGUAAGUCAGAUGUGAAAUCCCCGGGCUUAACUCGGGAGUUGCAUUUGAAACUACAGUGCUUGAGUAAGAAGGGGUAAGUGGAAUUCCUAGUGUAGCGGUGGGAUGCGUAGAUAUUAGGAGGAACACCAGUGGCGAAGGCGACUUACUGGUCUUUUACUGACGCUGAGGCACGAAAGCGUGGGGAGCAAACAGGAUUAGAUACCCGCGUAGUC